Molecule: ribosomal RNA, 716 nt
Filed under: uncultured fungus
Lineage: Eukaryota; Fungi
Description: SSU rRNA
Rfam family: Eukaryotic small subunit ribosomal RNA
Source: RNAcentral
AGGAUAGAGGCCUACCAUGGUGGUAACGAGUAACGGGGUGUUAGGGCACGACACCGGAGAGGGAGCCUGAGAAACGGCUACCACAUCCAAGGAUGGCAGCAGGCGCGCAAAUUACCCAAUCCCGACACGGGGAGGUAGUGACAAUAAAUAACAAUACGGGGUUCUUUAGGAUCUCGUAAUUGGAAUGAGUACAAUUUAAAUCUCUUAACGAGGAACAAUUGGAGGGCAAGUCUGGUGCCAGCAGCCGCGGUAAUUCCAGCUCCAAUAGCGUAUAUUAAAGUUGUUGCAGUUAAAAAGCUCGUAGUUGAAUUUCGGGGUUAGUAGGUUGGUCAUGCCUCUGGUAUGUACUGGUCUCACUGAUUCCUCCUUCCUUAUGAACCGUAAUGCCAUUAAUUUGGUGUUGCGGGGAAUUUGGACUGUUACUUUGAAAAAAUUAGAGUGUUUAAAGCAAGCUAACGCUUGAAUACAUUAGCAUGGAAUAAUGAAAUAGGACGUUCGAUCUUAUUUUGUUGGUUUCUAGGAUUGACGUAAUGAUUAAUAGGGAUAGUUGGGGGCAUUAGUAUUCAAUUGUCAGAGGUGAAAUUCUUGGAUUUAUUGAAGACUAACUACUGCGAAAGCAUUUGCCAAGGAUGUUUUCAUUAAUCAAGAACGAAAGUUAGGGGAUCGAAGACGAUCAGAUACCGUCGUAGUCUUAACCAUAAACUAUGCCGACUAGG